UACGUAGGGGGCAAGCGUUAUCCGGAUUUACUGGGUGUAAAGGGGGCGCAGACGGCAAUGCAAGCCAGGAGUGAAAGCCCGGGGCCCAACCCCGGGACUGCUCUUGGAACUGCAUGGCUGGAGUACAGGAGGGGCAGGCGGAAUUCCUGGUGUAGCGGUGAAAUGCGUAGAUAUUAGGAGGAACACCGGUGGCGAAGGCGGCUUGCUGGGCCUGUACUGACAUUGAGGCACGAAAGCGUGGGGAGCAAACAGG
Molecule: ribosomal RNA, 253 nt
Filed under: uncultured Eubacteriales bacterium
Lineage: Bacteria; Bacillati; Bacillota; Clostridia; Eubacteriales
Description: uncultured Clostridiales bacterium partial 16S ribosomal RNA
Rfam family: Bacterial small subunit ribosomal RNA
Source: RNAcentral